This 460-nucleotide ribosomal RNA is filed under the name uncultured bacterium. Its description in RNAcentral is "partial 16S ribosomal RNA". It matches the Rfam family "Bacterial small subunit ribosomal RNA", at positions 338 to 795 of the family's 1533-position model. The record is from RNAcentral.
CCUACGGGUGGCAGCAGUGAGGAAUAUUGGUCAAUGGACGAGAGUCUGAACCAGCCAAGUAGCGUGAAGGAUGACUGCCCUAUGGGUUGUAAACUUCUUUUAUAUGGGAAUAAAACGUUCCACGUGUGGGAUUUUGUAUGUAUCAUAUGAAUAAGGAUCGGCUAACUCCGUGCCAGCAGCCGCGGUAAUACGGAGGAUCCGAGCGUUAUCCGGAUUUAUUGGGUUUAAAGGGAGCGUAGGUGGAUUGUUAAGUCAGUUGUGAAAGUUUGCGGCUCAACCGUAAAAUUGCAGUUGAAACUGGCAGUCUUGAGUACAGUAGAGGUGGGCGGAAUUCGUGGUGUAGCGGUGAAAUGCUUAGAUAUCACGAAGAACUCCGAUUGCGAAGGCAGUUCACUGGACUGCAACUGACACUGAGGCUCGAAAGUGUGGGUAUCAAACAGGAUUAGAUACCCCAGUAGUC